GCUCCCCACCAAGCAAGGAGCCCGAUGCGGGACUCGAUCCCAAGACCGCGGAAUCAUGACCUGAGCUGAAGACAGCCGCUUAACCAACUGAGUCACCCAGGUGUCCCCUGAUAGGAUAUUUUAAAUGUUUUUACAUUUAACAAGAAAAUAUUUAAAUAUCUAUUAUGAAUCCACCUAUAUGCAACUAUAUUCACAAAAGAAGUACAAGAUUGUUCUUACCACUGAAGAAACAUUUAAUGUAGGUGAGUGUAUGUACAAACAUAA
Molecule: long non-coding RNA, 264 nt
Filed under: Mustela putorius furo (domestic ferret)
Lineage: Eukaryota; Metazoa; Chordata; Mammalia; Carnivora; Mustelidae
Description: lncRNA (ENSMPUG00000026203.1)
Source: RNAcentral